CUUGCUCACAGGCACAUCAUAUCCAUAACACCUGUGCACUUGUCGGAUGGCUUAGUGAAGACCGCAAGGUUGAAUCUAUCCAUCUACUUUACAUAACAAUUCUGUAACAAAUGUAGUCUUAUUAUAACAUAAUAAAACUUUCAACAACGGAUCUCUUGGCUCUCGCAUCGAUGAAGAACGCAGCGAAAUGCGAUAAGUAAUGUGAAUUGCAGAAUUCAGUGAAUCAUCGAAUCUUUGAACGCACCUUGCGCUCCUUGGUAUUCCGAGGAGCAUGCCUGUUUGAGUGUCAUGAAAACCCUCAACCCUAGAUUGGUUAAAACCUUUCUUUGGUUUGGAUUUGGACGUUUGCCGAUGAUAAGUCGGCUCGUCUUAAAAGUAAUAGCUGGAUCUGUCUCGCGACAUGGUUUGACUUGGCGUAAUAAGUAUUUCGCUAAGGACAUCUUCGGAUGGCCGCGUUGCAGGACUAAAGACCGCUUUCUAAUCCAUUGAUCUUCGGAUUAAUACUCUUGACAUCUGGCCUCAAAUCAGGUAGGACUACCCGCUGAACUUAAGCAUAUCAAUA
Molecule: ribosomal RNA, 562 nt
Filed under: Naganishia albida
Lineage: Eukaryota; Fungi; Basidiomycota; Tremellomycetes; Filobasidiales; Filobasidiaceae
Description: eukaryotic LSU rRNA
Rfam family: 5.8S ribosomal RNA (bases 136-289)
Source: RNAcentral